This is a long non-coding RNA of Uranotaenia lowii, 1661 nucleotides long. RefSeq lists it as uncharacterized. The record is from RefSeq and is a predicted model, not a curated record. NCBI's taxonomy places the organism in Eukaryota, Metazoa, Arthropoda, Insecta, Diptera, Culicidae. The transcript is spliced from 5 exons.
CUCGUAUAUAAGUGCAACGAGAAUCGGAUUCGUAAAUGUGUACACUUAACAUUCGAACAUAUCGUAUAUUCAUCGUAUUAGAUGUUAAAACCAAGUAAAAUACGAUUAAAUUACGAUAUGUUUAAUGAAGUCGUAUUUAGUACGACCGAUGCGAAAUGAAACCAAAUUAUAAUCGCAUAAGAUUUUUUAAGACGCAUUUUAUUCAUACACAUUCGACUAACGCACCAACAUCGUCAUUGAGUACAGAAUGAUUCGUAAAAAAUAACACAUAAGCGUCAGUCAUCAGGUCACUGGUAUAUUAUCAUCGCAUAAAAUGACAAUUUAAUGCCGCUUAGUCAUACGGCAAAAGUUUUGAUUUCUCGUGCAACCAUCAUCGCAUAAAACUCGUUCUGAAGUAGCAAUAUUGAAAUGAAAAAAAAAACAACUUCAGUGUUUUCGAUUGUCUUUCUCCCAUUAUUUAAUUGUUCGUUUUUGUUCAGUGCAUAGUUUCGCAGAAAAACAAAUAAAAACAGCACUUGUGAUUAAAUUUUGUGCACAAAAUCAUGAUUAGUUUUGGACAGUUUUUCUAUAGUAAUAGGACGAAUUUCCAAUCUAAAAAUUGCAGUGCGAUUGGCCAUAUCAUGACAGCAACAUCGAAAGUUGCCAGGAAUCGGUGCAGGAGCCCGGGAGGAUAGUCGUGUUAACUGCAACAGGAAGGGUUGCGAAAUUACAGGUGGUCAAGUUGGACCUUUCUGGUCUUAGCCGUCUUAGGACAACCACAAAUAAAAAAAAAGAAUUUACUGGUUUACCAUUGCUGCCUAUCCACCAGAAAACAACGAAGAAUGCUCCGAAACAAUAAGCAGCAGGAAAAGGACAGGCCCAGAUCGAUUAAACUCCUGAACCGCCCUGGGAGGCCUGAACUGGAGGGAAGGCAAACUGUUUACCGAAUAGUAUUUCUUUGCUUCCGGAGGUAUUUUGCAACAACAGAAUAACAAUCAUCAUUCGCUUCUUCCUACGACUCCAGCUUGACAAUGAAAGCAACAAUAAUACGUUCGCGAAAAAAAUAAACCAUAAAGCACUCUCGUGUUUCCGGAGCUGAACAGAAUUGAUAGCUCGUUGUUGAUUCCAUUAUGACCGCAACGGCGCAACACCAAGAUGUACUGUACAUAUGGAUAAAUCAGGAAAAUAGGCAGCCUGGAAUGCCCCUGAGUCCUCUCCUCCCCAUGACCCCAGAAAGAUGCUGCCAACAGUAGUUCCCAAGGGACGAAUUGGUCAUCAAUAUUCCAAAUGAAUUCCACUGAGGGAAUCGAGGCCAUAUUUUAGAUAUUUUUAAACUUAAGGAAGAGAAGAUAGUGCGAAACUAAAAACUGCUCGAGGAUUCGUUGGAAUGUGAUGGUACCGAGAUCGACACAAUAAGAUUAACGUUACUAUUGGGCGUUUUUUCGGUUAACCAUUUGGAAGGACCUGACCAAGUCUUGAGGUACAAGACGGAUUCGAAGGGCACAUUGCAAGUGAAUCGAUCGCUACUGGCCCUCCAAUGGUCCGGGCAUUUCCGCUAUACAGCCGGAAGACAUUGAUAGAGAUGAGCGGCCAACAUCGGUAAAGCCAUCGGGAAAGCAGUGAGCGGAAAAAGAUCCUGGUUCGAUAAGGCCAUAUAUUGUGUAAAGAAAUUGAAAAUGGUG